This 252-nucleotide ribosomal RNA is filed under the name uncultured bacterium. Its description in RNAcentral is "partial 16S ribosomal RNA". It matches the Rfam family "Bacterial small subunit ribosomal RNA", at positions 30 to 289 of the family's 1533-position model. The record is from RNAcentral.
UUGAACGCUGGCGGCAUGCCUUACACAUGCAAGUCGAACGGUAGAGGGGCAACCCUUGAGAGUGGCGAACGGGUGAGUAAUGCAUCGGAACGUGCCCAGUCGUGGGGGAUAACGCAGCGAAAGCUGUGCUAAUACCGCAUGUGAUCUGUGGAUGAAAGCAGAGGACCGCAAGGCCUUGUGCGAUUGGAGCGGCCGAUGUCAGAUUAGCUAGUUGGUAGGGUAAAAGCCUACCAAGGCGACGAUCUGUAGCUG